This is a long non-coding RNA of Hirundo rustica (Barn swallow), 5320 nucleotides long. RefSeq lists it as uncharacterized. NCBI's taxonomy places the organism in Eukaryota, Metazoa, Chordata, Aves, Passeriformes, Hirundinidae. The record is from RefSeq and is a predicted model, not a curated record. The transcript has 3 exons.
GGGAGGUGUCGAGGAGCUUUGGCCGGCCGGGAGUUGCGUGUCCCUUGGCCCCAAAGCCAAGAACAGCUCAUCUACAGGAGAAAUGUCCCUUGGAGUUACUGCAGCAGUCCCACGCUCUUUCCUCUCUAACUCUGCUAAAUGUACUUGACUGCACAAAACUUCAUAAAGAGAGUCUCUCCGUGCUAAAGAACUGGAGCUGGCACACAAGCUGUAAAGAGCAGAGUCAGUGCCCAAAAUUUAAUUUGUCUGGAGCUUCAAAUCGUUAUUAUUCCACUAGAGGGAGUACAGUGAAGGCAAACACUCAGGAACUGGCAGCAACGCGGAGUGUGGUGAAUAGUUACUUCUGGAGAAGCAGUAACACCUACUUUACCAGUUUCUGUGCAAGAGUUCAUUCCUUUCCUCCUUGUCUAACCCCUGUGACAGCAGCUUUUGAAUCUGAAGUAGUAAAUAUCACGAGUUUUCCACAUGAGCAGGACAGGCGGAUUUAGAGCUCUGACAUGUGUCUAAAGACGGAACUGGAAAUGCUGAUGCAUAUUUAUUCAUCAUUUUUUGAGUAUCUGCACUUCAGAAAACCUCUCUGACAUAGUGAUGGAAAGUAACAGUACCCUUUUUACAGCUAAAAUAGAUUUAUACUACAAUUGCAUGACCACAUUUGAAGUUCACGUACUCCACAAAAGUACGGGUUUUAUAAUCUCAUUACCUCACUGACAAAAAUCUUGUUUCUACCAAGUCUGCUCCGUGCCACAAAACACCAAACACAGUGAAAACCCUAAACAAAACUAUUCUGGGAGUGAUACCACAUCUGUGAAUUGAGAGCUUCCAACAAUCAUUGAGAAAACAUUCCUGUGGAACAGCUGUUGUUGUCUCAAUAUUGCUACACAGGAAGAAAUUCUGGCAGAAUACAUCAAGGGAAGCUGAGCAAGGCUUAAAAAAUAGCUGGCUAGGAACAAAAGCAUGGGAGAUGAAAAGGACAUAAGAGAGUCUAAAGACACCGGUUAAAACAUCGAGAUCACAAAUAUUCUGGACCAGGAGAAAUCAAUUAGGACAAGAGGUUAGUCAGUUCAAAGGAAAACAGCUUUAUGAUAAAGAGCACCUUGAACUUCUACAGUAAGAACUGAAAGUGUUGUAAUGGUCAAAACACAGGCAUGCAGGUUUUGGGGAGGACAAACAAAUGCUUGUCUUGUGGUGAACCAAAUCGUAUUCAAUGGUGGGUAGGCAAGAAAUACUGCUAGAAAAAUUUAGUUAUUUCAAAUAUGCAUAGUCUUGGCUUGUUUUGUUUCAUUGUUGGGGUUUUUUUUAACUUCCCUUAAAGAUUCCCUGUUCCAGCCAGAUAAGUAAUGGGUGAGCAAAGUCGGGCAGGGCCAUCACAUCCUCUUACAAAUACCAGUUUCAGUUUUGUCCACACAGUUAAUCGAAGAGCCUGGCAGGAAAACAACUGCCGUGUGUGCCCUGGCAUGGAGGAAGUUCCAGGAAAGAGGAAAAAGUUCCAGUCUGGAGCACAGAGGAAGCAAGCAGAGAGUCAGCCUGGCUGUGCUGAAUGGGACAAUGAAUAAUUAAUUAACUUACAUUUAAACGUCUCUGCUUCCAGAACUUGGCAGCUGGCUUGAUGCUCAAACUGAUCAUCUUCACAGAGGAAAUCAUGGCAAAAAGAGCAGGCGAAUAUUCUGCCUCCUGAAAGAUUGAUCAGGGUAAAAUAAUCAACAACAGGCUCAGGCAUCAAGUCUUGCUCUGCAAACAAUUUAGGCAGCAGUUUUGACUGCAGACCAGUUCUCCCCACUGUCACAAAUGCUUCAAGGUCCUAAAUCGGACACUGCCGUCCUCCUUAUCCUACAAUAUAAGACAGCAUAACUACAAAGUAAGCAUUACUUCUGGUACUUUUCUUCAUUUUAAUUUGACUGUAGCAUUAACUGUUUUUCUUAGAUCAGAUCACACUCUCACCCAGUCUUCUCUGCUCGGCUCUGACACACACCUGAAAUAAACACUUCAAAGGAUUCCACAAAUGGAGACCAGUAAGCAACUGGGAAUCCAAAUACCUGCGCUAGUGCAGAAGAACGGAGUAAGAAUGGCAAGAAACUGCGUUGGCAAUUUGAUGCAGUGCUUAGUUAUGUGAAUAAUUAAGCUGAUAGAACCAUUAUAAUUUAGAUUACAGCAUCAUCCCUGAGCUGAGCACUGUAUGCUCUUGAGCAGGUCAUUUACUUUCCCCGCUGCAUAAUGAGUGUUUUUAAAAUAGGGAGGAUCCCUGCUUUGAACAAACAUACUGCAAGGCCUAAUCAGUGAAGACUGAAAAGGCAGUGUUAAGAAUAUAGGGGCACUAACUUAAGCAAUGGAAGGAAAGGAGUGUAAUUCAUAUUUUGAGACGUGAACAACCUACCGUGGUCCCAGACGCUCCUCUCGCACUCGACGCACUCCGCGUCUGCCAGAGGGCAGGUACAGGCGUGGGUGCUGAGACACUUCCUCCCGUGACACACCCAGGCUUCACAGAAAUCACAGAUUGCACCCUGCAACCGCAGCGAGGCACCACCUCAGGGCUUUGCAACACCAGCACAGACCUGUCCCACCACCCCCAGCGCAUCCCAGCGUCCCUCCUCUCCACGGGCCCGCUUUGGCUGAGUGGGAGCGCUGAACCGAGCCCAGCUGCUCCACAGUUCAUGUCUGCUCGUCGUUCAUCUCUGCACGAUUAACUACGAUGCAAAAUCCUUUGCUUAUCUAUCUCAGCUCUGGGUUUUUACAUCUCUUGUCGCUUCUUUUGCACACGGUGAAUUGUGUCCUCCAGCUGAAACCUGGGAUCCAUAAACUAUAACAAUGUUCUGGCAGAAAUGAAAUUUCAAAGAAAUGCCUCUAGACUCUUACAGCUGAAAUCGCUCAUUUGGAGUUUAAACUCUGCUACAUUAGAGCACAAGCUCUGCAGAGAGCAAAGAUCAUCACAAGCAAGUUAAGACUCUUUGACUUUUGACUAUAUGGUAAGAUCUCCACUUCAGCUGUCCUUAACUGUAGCAUUUAGGAAGCCUUUCCAGCCCACAGGUAACUGAUUGCUGUGUGCGUUACAUGCACACGGAGCCAAGGAAACAAGGAUGAACCCAAACCUCACGGCUGGUGCAUUCACUCCUGCACCAGUGAAUGCACGGGGUGAGUUCAGAACAGCAGCAUGUAAAGGCUGGCUGUGUUUCUGAGAACAGCUGACAGCCAGCUGCAGGCAGCAGCAGCACACAGGUUUAGCCCAUUUAAUCCAGAGGCUCUGACAGGUCCCACCUCGCUUCUCAGAAUGCAGACACUAACUUGUCCUGCUAAGCACAAAACUUCAAAGGCCUGAAGAUAUGAUUGUCUCUAAUUAAGAGCCCAAAAGAGGGGGUUUGUUCAUUAAAAUUCCCCUCUAAUGGAACAGAUUCCUCUCUGUGGUGCUGAUGAUCUCUGCAGCACUAAGAUAGAGACAAAAGUCUGCAGGUUUCUGCAGAAUAAUCCUACAUUUUAAUGAUGCUGGGAAUUGUCUGGGGGCAUGUAAAGGUCCAGUGCAUGUGCUUAGGGCCUGCCACCAACACAGAUCCAUUAGCAUCCACGACAUGUGCUGGAGUUUGCAGGAGCUGAAUCUAAAAAUGAAGGACUUGGGGAUUUCAGUACAAGGGAAAAAUCAGUUUGUUACAGAAAAGCGGGGGAAAAAGCCAACUUGGCAGGGUGCACACUAUCAUUCCAUAAAUCUGUUGUAUCAUUUUUUCCAGGAAGAUGUGCACAGAAUAUCCUCACAGUGCAAACAAAAAGGCUGUAAUUUUGUAUACAUACCACCAUAGCUAGUCCAGUACUGUACACACCAGCAUGCUUUAUAACACAGUCUGAAGACUUCAUCAUGCAUUUGGUUUUUCCUGUUUAAAAUAAAAAGGCAAGCAACCAUAAGAAAACUGUGUAAAAAUAAACUUUUAAAACAAGUAGAAUGUAAGAACAGCAGUUCGACGAAAUGCCUGUGCUUAGCCAUAAAUCUGGGUAAGAACAAUGCAAAGAUGUUUGCGUUAAAUCAAUUGUUUGUUUUCAGUCAAAUCUCUUGCCCCUGGAAAAUCUCUUGCCUCUCUCCCAGAGAGGAGACUUGUGACACAGUGCCCCUGCACACUAACAGCCUGGCUUCCAGAAACGCUCAGCCUCUGCAGGUCACAGCAAAGGCACUGAAAGCUGCACGUCAGCACCUCCGAGAGUCAAACUCCAAAGCAGCCAAACUGCUUCAGGGCAAAGGGAAAUCUGCAGUGAUGUGCUGGAACAGUGCAACAACAAAAGUCACCUCAGUAUGAAAUGAAUAUCAACACCUCCUGUAAGCAAACAGCUGUUUAAAAACAAAGGGCAUUUUGAGCCCUUCUCUUCUAAUUUCAAAGCACCAGCCCUCAACCCCACGUAAAUAACAAGAGUUGCACGUUACAUUACAACCCCAUGCAAGGUAAAUAACAUAUUGUUGCUUCAAUUGAUAUUGAAUUGAUCAGAAAUUAUAUAAUCCCUAAAAAAGCAGUAUUUAUUGGUGCCUUGCUUGCAGUCAGAGCUUCUUCAGUUUUGCUGCUGUUAUGAAACAAUGCUCCUCAUGGUCAAUCUAUGGAAACUGUCACACCUCUCAAACCUAAAAGAAAGCCAGACAAAUUCUUCCAAAGAUUAGCCACGAUCCAGGCCUGCAAACCUCUGGGGGCUGGAUGCACAUAUACUGAUCAAACAAGAUCACUUCUCAAGGAGGACACUCACAGCAGAUUCAAAAGGACAUCACAGAGGUCCUUUAGGAUAAAUCUACUGUAACAGAGGUACUGAGAGCUGAACACCACGAACAGGACUGAGAACACCUCGUUCUCACCCAUUAUUUCUACUCACCACACUGUGCACAAAUGGGCAGCUUCUGAACAGAGUUACAGAAGUAACAAAAAGCUCUAUUCUUCUGUCGUCUGGGCACACAGAGGGGAAAAAAACAAAAAGGAAGUGUUAAGCAUUAAAAAAAAAAACCUGUAAAAUGUCUGAAACAAACUGCUGGUUUUAGAAGGGUAAAGAUUCUUACCUUUGGCACUUGUCACAUUCCUAAAGAGAAGAAAUAAAACUCUGGUGAUUAUUUUCAUUCUAGGUAAAAUACAUAAAAUUUACAGACCUCCACAGGGAGCUACAGUUAGGAUCCAAACCUUUUAAUCAAUAUUCCCUCCUGGUGCAAACAUAACCUUAAAUAUCAAGGAAGGAUAGCAGGAAGAAGGGCAUUCCAGUGGCAUUAAAUGCAGUCAAGGUAUUUAUCACUGGGUUUUAAGGUAUUUUAAGACAGAACACUUGAGGUUAAUUUACCAUUGAAGCAUUACAGGGAUGUUUGGCCAGGUCUAUG